GGUGGGUGGGGGAAUGGGGAGAGGGAGGAAGGUGAUAGCAUGGUCUCUAUAGAGAAAACGAGCUCCUGAACCUAUCACCGGUGAAGAAGCACAUGGAUCUCUAUCAGACAGAACUUUCAUGAAUUAAAAAAACCUUGUGGCAAGAUUCUGCUACAAGUCUGAGAUUUGUUACUGUGGAGUUGGAAGAAAUACCAGAAAAGUAACUGAAAUCCCAAGUUAGGAGAAGGAGAUCAUUUCUUGGGACAGAGGUUUCCUUGGAGAUGAGUGCGGGGACCCUCCAUAUGAGGUGGGUAGGUAGACGUGACCUCCCUAGCUUUGUCAGCAGUUUUUCAGGAGGGAAAACUGCCUAACCUUUGGGAAUACGCUGCUGCUGAAUGUUCUUCCUAGGCUCUGUGAGUGGAGAGAGACGACAGAUAAGCUACUUCGUGAGCCACAAUAUGUGUACUGUAUUUCGAGGGAGAUAGUCCAAACUUUUAUUCUUGAAAGAUAAAACUGUUAAAAGAGGUCCCAGAAGCCACUGACAGUUGCAGAGGUCAGCACCCCCACAGGGCAAAACCAGGACAGGGGGAGACAGAAGUCCAGAGUUGGGCCAUGCCUAUUUAAGACAGCAUGUGGCGUGUGGUUUCCAGUGUUUUGAUUGAGAAAGAUAAAUCUUAGUUUUGCAGAAGAGGAUAAAUGAUCAUGAGGAUGAGAGAGGGUCUCUGGAGACCACAGAGGUUCACACUCACAGUUAAUUAAAAAAACUGUUUCUGUGUAGAGAAAUGACAAAAGUGGUAUGACCGGCCAGUGUGAGUUCUCACCAAAUGCUAGAGUAUACCGCCUGAAGCCAGGAAGAAAUAACCGAAGAACAGGUGAAAAGAGAGACUGCAUGAAGAUGCGGUUUUUCUGACCAAAAGCAAUAAGACACGGUAGAAAGUGUGGAUGGGUCUAAGGAGGGAUUUGAAAACUCAGUCCCGGGCUGCUGUGGGCCGUGCCCGUCUUGUGCAGAUGUUCUCCGAGAGGCCAGCCCUGUCCUCAGAGUGGCCCCUGGGAGCAGCCCGUGCCCACCCAGAAGUGUGUGUCUGUGUCUGUUUGUGUCCAGAGUUCUCUGACACAUGCCCCCGCCCGCCCCCGCCCCCUUGGUGGCAUUUGAUUAAGCUGUUCUCUAGCCUGGCCCCCGCCCCCACGCGGCUCGUUUCCCCAUCUGUGACUGACGUUCCCCAGAGGUGGCGGGGCGGGGGGGGGGUGGGGCACGCCUUUCCAUCUUCUCCACGCUGUCCUGCAGUCCGUACGCGCCGACCUGAGAGGAGAAUGAAUGGCUGCAGCAGCUGCGAGGGGAGCCUGCAGGGGAUAGUUGAGCGUCUGUGCCUGCGAUGUCUUUUGGCCUUGAAACGAGUUCACGAAGGCAGAGGGGCUUUCUCUUCCCCUUCCCAUCCCAGUGCUACCAAGCUGUCCAUCCUCGGGGAUAAGUAGACUAGUUGAACUUGAAAUAGAUCUUUUAGAGGAAACCCCCACCCCACCUUCCCAGACCAACUCCUCCCCGUUUCCCCCCUCCAUACAGUGUGUAUACAGGAGGGUACGGCGCUGUUCUCGGCAGCACAGGCUUUGGCUUAUCGGAGAGGCAGCCAGGCGUUUUGCACUAGGAAAAAUCAGUGGUCACUUUUCAGAAGACGUCUAUGGACCAUAAAUAUAUUACGGAGGAACAGAUUUUGCUAAGACAUAAUCUAGUUUUGUAACUCAAUCAUGGAUCAACCACACGUGGCUACCUUGCAGUUUAAAGGGGGUCCCAUCAGUGAAAAACAGAUUUUUUUUUUUUUUGGCUGACUGCUUUUAGCUAAAUUUAAGAAAGUCAUCUCUUGUCAAAAGGUUUCCACCUUCCCGUCUCGAUCUUAAAAGCAUGUCAAACAAUCCACAUCAGAUGCCAAACACGUGAACUGCAAGAGAAAAAUGGUACAAUCGUAGUGAAUGGGAAUCUGAAUCAAAAGGGUUUGCUGUCCUUCUUAGAAUGUUCAAAAAUGUCAAGGCAGUUGCUUGUGUUUAACUGUGAACAAAUAAAACUUUAUUGUUUUGCA
Long non-coding RNA from Bos taurus (domestic cattle), 2051 nucleotides. Lineage: Eukaryota; Metazoa; Chordata; Mammalia; Artiodactyla; Bovidae. The record is from Ensembl.